RNAcentral lists this non-coding RNA (21 nucleotides) under Caenorhabditis elegans. The record is from RNAcentral. Lineage: Eukaryota; Metazoa; Nematoda; Chromadorea; Rhabditida; Rhabditidae.
UGUGCAAUGACCAUUUGCAGA